GGUUUUUUACUCCGUUUGUGUUGCAAGCGUGCGUGCGCUCGGCUUUUUUGGUCUUUUAAUUAUUACUUGACGCGCUUGAAAUUCAAUUGUGGUUCGUUCAACUGACGCGCGAAGUGAUUGUAAGUGUACUUAAUAAAAAAAAUAAAUAAAAACCAAAAAUUGCAGUUCGUAAACGUUGGCAAAUCGAAAAUGAAAUAAUAAAAGCGAAAAAUGCAACGAAAAUGGCAUUGAACGAAGACGAAAGAGAAGAAAAGUGAAAAGCAAUUUUUCUGCUACGCUUGAGAACCGAAACGCGACGAAACGAAGAAAACAACAAUUGUGUGUGAGACGACGACGACGGCGAAGAAGCGAAUAGAGAAAAAAAGAUCAUGCGUGCUUGACGACGACGACGUCGAUAAAUGCGGCCGGGGGAGGGGUGAUAACUAGUGCCAAACAAUGCAAGACAGACAACAAAACAAACAGCAACAACAACAACAAAAACAGUAAUAAUAAUAAUAAUAUUGAGAAGCAGCAGCAACAGAUGAUGAUGAUGAUGAUGAUAAAAGAGAGCAGCAACAACACAAGCAGUAUUUGUAUUUCCACAUAAUUAUUGACAACGUGCAGAGCAAGCAAAGAGAGCGAACAAGUAAGAAGAUAUACAAGAAGUAGGAAGACAAGCAAUAAGAAGCAGCAGCCACAACUCUGUCUGGCAUUCAAAAUAUGCGCACACAUACAAACAAACAAACAAACAUAGCACUGCCUUGAAAGCUCAACAAGUUGAAACGAAAAAGAAGGCCAGAAGGAGACAGCAAACAGUGAAGACCUACUUUGCCAAUUUGCCAAAGCGCAACUGACAGUGAUAGAUAGCUUAGAUAGCUAAAGUACUUUGUGUGCAUUGUGUGCUUUAAGCUUUACUUACACGUCAAACACAAUGCAAAGCUUUUGGCUAUUAAUGCUGAUCGCGCAGCUUGUCUGCAGUCAGGAAGCGAUAACAACGACCGAGGACACUUUAACCAUAAGCUCCACAUCCACCACAGCCAGUGUGACCAACGGUGAUCGGCUGCAACCGCCGCCGCGUGUCACGCUGAACAAGUGUUGCCAUGGCGGGGAAUAUUUAAACAGCAGCUCGCGGAUUUGUGUGGCCGGCGCCUCCAAGGAUUGGGUGCCGCUCGUCUUUCUCAUACAGCAGCGACGCUUCUUUGAGCCCGAAGGCUCCAAGCCGCGCUUCGUGAAAUUCGUGCCCAACGUGCAGCCCCAGUGUGACGAGCAACAUCAGCAAUUGGAGCUGUUCCACACCCGAAGCGCCAAUGUGCUCAUCUUCUCGAAUGGAACGCUGUCCGUGCGUGAACGCGACAUCCUCGUCCAGCCUGCCAACUAUUGUGUAGAUCGCUUUGUGGCGCUGGUCUGCGUUGAACGCGAUGCGCCAUUGCCCAUGCAACAGCAGGAACGUCAACCGGGUGACGAGUCUCAACAGGUGGCGCCACCACCACCACCGCCAACGUUGCGUCUGCGCAAAUGCUGUGGCAAGCGUGGCAUCUACAACAGCAACAUCAAAAGUUGUACACUGCAAACAGCAGCGAGCGGCAGCAGCGAUGCUAAUGGACAGCUGCAAUUGGAGCCACAGUUGCCAUGGGGCAGUUAUCAAACCAGCUACGGACUCCCGGAGUGUCAUCUGGGGAAUGGCAGUGCGUAUGCCAUUGCCGGGGAUUGGCAUGAGGCAACAUUGAAUCGCACAACGGGCGCUCUGCAACUGCAACUCACGAAUCUGAGCGCAUUGCAAUAUUGUCUAGAGCACACGGAACGUGCCGGCGAGGUGAAGAUCAUUACGUGCAGUCAGCAUUUCGGACAGGACACCAACCAGGCUCAAUAUGCGGAUGAUGUCUCAAUACUCAGCGUGGGCAUCGUCAUAUCGAUUGUGUUUCUGGCGGCCACAUUGGUUGCCGGCUACAUGUUGCCAGCGGUGCAUCAUGCGCUCCACUGGCGCUGUCAGAUCUAUUAUGUGUUCUGUCUGCUCCUCGGCAAAAUCCUGUUGAUUGUCGAGAUAAGCCGAGCCCUGGAACCGGGGACGAUGAGUUGCAUGCUGCUGGCCAUUGGCAUGCAGUUCUUCUUUUUGUCCGCCUUCUUUUGGCUAAACACCAUGUGCUUCAACAUCUGGUGGACAUUCCGGGACUUUCGUCCCAGCUCCCUGGAGCGCAAUCAGGAGACCCUACGCCUGCGUUUGUACUCCGCCUAUGCCUGGGGUGUGCCGCUCUUGAUAUGCGCCAUUGCCGCCUGUGUGGAUCAGUUGCCCGAAACGGAGACGGCGCUGUUGCGCACGGGAUUCGGACAACCGUAUUGCUGGUUCGAUAAUCGUGCGGCGAUCUUCGCGUACUUCUUUGGACCGAUCGGAUUGCUGUUGUGCGCCAACAUAAUGCUCUUCAUCUCGACCACACAUCAGUUGACCUGCGGUCUGUGGAAGCGCGACGAUGUCAAGUCAACGUCGGAGAAAUCGGCAUUGGGUCGCGUCUGCCUCAAGCUGGUUGUUGUGAUGGGUGUUACAUGGAUAUGGGAUAUUAUCUCGUGGCUGGUGGGCGGGCCCAAUGAAGUGUGGCUAAUGACGGAUCUGAUCAAUGCCCUGCAGGGUGUAUUCAUCUUUAUUGUCGUGGGAUGCCAGCCGCAGGUGUGGACCGCCUGCAAGCGCAUCUGUUGUCCGCGACUCACGCACGACAUCACGAACACAACGAAUGGGGUGCAGCAUUCGAGCAGCUCGCAGGGAUUGCCCUCGAUGGCCGGAUGUGGCACCGAGUUUACGCAAAACACCUCGAUGAAUGUGACGACGUUGGCCAGUCCAGAUGAUUCUGCACCUGCAGUGCCAACAUCAUCGCCGCCAAGAACGCCAACACUGAGCAUAGCAAACACCACAACAGCAACAACAGGAGCAACAACAACAACUACAAAGAUACCCAUGGAAACUAUUUGCUAAGAAAACUGAGACGAGCGACAAUGCGAAAGUAAACCGAGUCCUACAGCAACAACAACAGCAGCAACAACAAAAACAACGACAACGGCAGAAACAACCACAACAACAAUGACAAUGAAACGGGCCGACUACAACAACAUGCGGUCACACUUGCGCAAUAGUAACCGCAACAAUAGCAGCCACCACCACCACAACAACAACAACAACAACAAAAGCAGCAGCAGCGGGUAAAUUCAACAUUCAAGCACGCGCAUUGAGCGAGCGAAUGAGCGAAAGGCCUGCAACUUCCAACUGCCCAGCCCAGCCCAGCUGGCCAAGCUUAUUUCUUAAUUGGACGCGUUUAUGUGGGCAGCAGACACAACUUGAUCCUGAUUGGGAGCGGCGCUCUUUUACCAAAAUACCGAUGAAUUAUCUGCUUGUAAACACAGCCCGAGUUUAUUUACAUCAGGCAUGUUUCUCUCUUUCUCUCUUUCUUUCUCCAAGUGUAUGUGUGUGUAUGUAAUUUUGUAAGUGUGUGUUUUGUUUUCGGCGCACAGAAAAGCGAAGCGCGCGUUUAAUUAAACAAACAUUGAGCUGGUUAAUAGUUUACUUUGAUAUGCACACACAUACACACAACGAAAUGAAAACAAAAAUACACACACAGAGAGACGUUUGCAUUUACAUUUAUCAUCAAAAGUUCAACGCAACGAAACUGAUCAAGGUUAAAUGGCCUAAAACAAAAACAACAACAACAACAACGAAAGAAGCACAAUGAAUGAGAAAUAGAAACACAAAACGUAAACACACAUAAAAAAAGAUGCCAAUAAGAAAGCGAGUUUAAUUAACCGGACACACACACACACAGAAAACACUAUAGUAAGACGCAAUAUGCCGUUAGAGUUAGUUAGUCGGUUGGCCCCAAAAAAAAGUGUUACCAGAUCUGUUAAAAAACACGUAGACUCCCGUCGCUUGCAUAAUGUAUUUCAAUUUACCUUUUUUUUGAACGCAGAAACUAAAAACAGUACAAUCAUUUUUUUUUAACAACACGUUUUAAUUUAUUUACGUAAUUUUUUUUUUUUUAGUAAUUAUAUUAGUGCGUUUAACGUAUGUCGAAAAAGAAAAGAAAAUGCGUUUUGAAAACCUACAAAAAAAAUAAGAAACAAGAAAUCAAAGAGAAGAA
This is an RNA transcript of Drosophila sulfurigaster albostrigata, 4097 nucleotides long. It is a transcript of the gene named probable G-protein coupled receptor Mth-like 1, with no coding region annotated. The transcript is spliced from 3 exons. The record is from RefSeq and is a predicted model, not a curated record. Lineage: Eukaryota; Metazoa; Arthropoda; Insecta; Diptera; Drosophilidae.